AGAGAUAGAUGGUGAGGGGUUUGAGGGGAGCUGAAGGAUGGGACUGGAUGGUGGUCAGAGAUAGAUGGGAGGGGUUGAGGGAGCUGAAGGAUGGGACUGGAUGGUGGUCAGAGAUAGAUGGGAGGGGUUGAGGGGAGCUGAAGGAUGGGACUGGAUGGUGGUCAGAGAUAGAUGGGAGGGGUUGAGUGUAGCUGAAGGGUGGGACUGGAUGGUGGUCAGAGAUAGAUGGGAGGGGUUGAGGGGAGCUGAAGGGUGGGACUGGAUGGUGGUCAGAGAUAGAUGGGAGGGGUUGAGGGGAGCUGAAGGGUGGAACUGGAUGGUGGUCAGAGAUAGAUGGGAGGGGUUGAGGGGAGCUGAAGGGUGGGACUGGAUGGUGGUCAGAGAUAGAUGGGAGGGGUUGAGGGGAGCUGAAGGAUGGGACUGGGAUGGUGGUCAGAGAUAGAUGGGAGGGGUUGAGGGGAGCUGAAGGGUGGAACUGGAUGGUGGUCAGAGAUAGAUGGGAGGGGUUGAGGGGAGCUGAAGGAUGGGACUGGAUGGUGGUCAGAGAUAGAUGGGAGGGGUUGAGGGGAGCUGAAGGAUGGGACUGGAUGGUGGUCAGAGAUAGAUGGGAGGGUUGAGGGGAGCUGAAGGAUGGGACUGGAUGGUGGUCAGAGAUAGAUGGGAGGGGUUGAGGGGAGCUGAAGGAUGGGGACUGGAUGGUGGUCAGAGAUAGAUGGGAGGGGUUGAGGGGAGCUGAAGGAUGGGGACUGGAUGGUGGUCAGAGAUAGAUGGGAGGGUUUGAGGGGAGCUGACGGAUGGGACUGGAUGGUGGUCAGAGAUAGAUGGGAGGGGUUGAGGGAGCUGAAGGAUGGGACUGGAUGGUGGUCAGAGAUAGAUGGGAGGGGUUGAGGGGAGCUGAAGGCUGGGACUGGAUGGUGGUCAGAGAUAGAUGGGAGGGGUUGAGGGGAGCUGAAGGAUGGGACUGGAUGGUGGUCAGAGAUAGAUGGGAGGGGUUGAGGGGAGCUGAAGGAUGGGACUGGAUGGUGGUCAGAGAUAGAUGGGAGGGGUUUGAGGGGAGCUGAAGGAUGGGACUGGAUGGUGGUCAGAGCUAGAUGGAGGGUUGAGGGGAGCUGAAGGAUGGGACUGGAUGGUGGUCAGAGAUAGAUGGGAGGGGUGAGGGGAGCUGAAGGGUGGGACUGGAUGGUGGUCAGAGAUAGAUGGGAGGGGUGAGGGGAGCUGAAGGGUGGGACUGGAUGGUGGUCAGAGAUAGAUGGGAGGGGUUGAGGGGAGCUGAAGGAUGGGACUGGAUGGUGGUCAGAGAUAGAUGGGAGGGGUUGAGGGGAGCUGAAGGAUGGGGACUGGAUGGUGGUCAGAGAUAGAUGGGAGGGGUUUGAGGGGAGCUGAAGGAUGGGGACUGGAUGGUGGUCAGAGAUAGAUGGGAGGGGUUGAGGGGAGCUGAAGGAUGGGACUGGAUGGUGGUCAGAGAUAGAUGGGAGGGGUUGAGGGGAGAUGAAGGAUGGGACUGGAUGGUGGUCAGAGAUAGAUGGGAGGGGUUGAGGGGAGCUGAAGGAUGGGACUGGAUGGUGGUCAGAGAUAGAUGGGAGGGGUUGAGGGGAGCUGAAGGAUGGGACUGGAUGGUGGUCAGAGAUAGAUGGGAGGGGUUGAGG
RNAcentral lists this long non-coding RNA (1646 nucleotides) under Oncorhynchus kisutch (coho salmon). Its description in RNAcentral is "lncRNA (ENSOKIG00005040086.1)". Lineage: Eukaryota; Metazoa; Chordata; Actinopteri; Salmoniformes; Salmonidae. The record is from RNAcentral.